UGACUAUGGGGGGCUGUACGCGAUAAGGACGCCAACGUUGGGGGUAUUUGGUACUUUACCCUACUUUUAAAGAAAGUAGAAAUAAAUAAUAAAAAUAAAAAUAAAAAAUGGUGAAAAGAAAAAUAUAAAGAAGUGUAAUAUUUUUGAAAAAAGCAAAAAUAAAUGAAAAAAUAAAAAUAAAAAAUGCUGAAAAGAAAAAAUAGAAUGCAUUUAAUGGAUUUCAAACUCCGAUCAUAAAUAAGGUGAGAGUAUCACUUAUACAUUGCACCAUAGUCUCAUUUUAUACACUUAUCUCACAGGAAAUCAACUAUUUAAUAGUGAAGGACGUUUUUUUCGUCCGCCAUGCGGGCGGAUAGAAUUGUUUGGCAUUUUUCCGAUGAUGGUCAUUACUCUGUUAAAACAGCAUAUAAGCUGGCCAGCUCCCUUACCCUUGACGAGACC
Molecule: long non-coding RNA, 441 nt
Filed under: Salvia miltiorrhiza (redroot sage)
Lineage: Eukaryota; Viridiplantae; Streptophyta; Magnoliopsida; Lamiales; Lamiaceae
Description: long non-coding RNA (SMIL_LNC004350)
Source: RNAcentral